UAUUAAGCGGAGGAAAAGAAACUAACUAGGAUUCCCUUAGUAGCGGCGAGCGAACAGGGAAAAGCCCAGCACCGAAUCCCGCGAUCUUAAUCGGUCGCCGGGAAAUGUGGUGUUAAGAAGGAUCUGUUAUUCCGUAAUUGCCUGACGCGUCCAAGUCCAUCUUGAACGGGGCCACUGCCCAUAGAGGGUGCCAGGCCCGUAGAGACCGUUAACAAUUGCGGAAAGAUCUCUUCUAAGAGUCGGGUUGCUUGAGAGUGCAGCCCUAAGUGGGUGGUAAACUCCAUCUAAGGCUAAAUAUAACCACGAGACCGAUAGCGAACAAGUACCGUGAGGGAAAGUUGAAAAGAACUUUGAAGAGAGAGUUCAAUAGUACGUGAAACCGUUCAGGGGUAAACCUGAGAAACCCGAAAGGUCGAAAGAAGAGAUUCAUUCGCGUUUCGUUAGCUGAAAUCGUGCGAUAGCGCGACAAACGUCGGUUCGCCGUCGUUUGCGCCGUUCGUUCGAUUACGUCGGCAUUGAACGCGUGCACUUCUCUUCAAGUAGGACGUCGCGAUCCGUUGGGCGUCGGUCUACGGGCCAAUGCGUAGCCCGAGAGCGCGGUUUUACCGUCGUUUUCGGACGCUUGGUUGCCGACCGGCUCGCUCGACGGUAUACGAAAGGCGCGGGGCCGCGAAUUAAAUUCGCGUCCGACUCGCGACAAGCGCGUUCGCAGCAUCGUUGAUCGGACUUGUGUGCCGGUCGCGAUCUCGGACGGCUGUUGGUCGCGAUGUUCUCGGACAGACCUCGAUUAAUUUAAACGCCAAUCGGCGACGCUAUAGCUUUGGGUACUUUCAGGACCCGUCUUGAAACACGGACCAAGGAGUCUAGCAUGUGCGCGAGUCAUUGGGAUUUUAACUAAACCUAAAGGCGUAAUGAAAGUAAAGAUUCGUUUUGCGCGAAUCAAGGGAAGAUGAGCGAAACGUUUUGCGACGUCCGUUCCGCAUUCCCGGGGCGUCUCGUUCUCAUUGCGAGAAGAGGCGCACCAAGAGCGUACACGCUGGGACCCGAAAGAUGGUGAACUAUGCCUGGUCAGGACGAAGUCAGGGGAAACCCUGAUGGAGGUCCGUAGCGAUUCUGACGUGCAAAUCGAUCGUCGGAACUGGGUAUAGGGGCGAAAGACUAAUCGAACCAUCUAGUAGCUGGUUCCCUCCGAAGUUUCCCUCAGGAUAGCUGGCGCUCGUAUCAUAAUUUGAACGAGUCUCAUCCGGUAAAGCGAAUGAUUAGAGGCAUUGGGGUCGAAACGACCUCAACCUAUUCUCAAACUUUAAAUGGGUGAGAUCUCCGGCUUGCUCGAAUUGUGAAGCCGCGAGAUUUUUGGAUCAGAGUGCCAAGUGGGCCAUUUUUGGUAAGCAGAACUGGCGCUGUGGGAUGAACCAAACGUCGAGUUAAAGCGCCUAAAUCGACGCUUAUGGGACACCAUGAAAGGCGUUGGUAACUUAAGACAGCAGGACGGUGGCCAUGGAAGUCGGAAUCCGCCAAGGAGUGUGUAACAACUCACCUGCCGAAGUUACUAGCCCUGAAAAUGGAUGGCGCUGAAGCGUCGUGCUUAUACUCGACCGUCAGCGGCAUGUGCGGUAAAAUGUUUUUUUUAACAUUUUACCAUGAAGCCCUGACGAGUAGGAGGGUCGCGGCGGUGUGCGCAGAAGGGUUGGCCGUGAGGCCGCCUGGAGCCGCCGUCGGUGCAGAUCUUGGUGGUAGUAGCAAAUACUCCAGCGAGGCCCUGGAGGACUGAUGUGGAGAAGGGUUUCGUGUGAACAGCCGUUGCACACGAGUCAGUCGAUCCUAAGCCCUAGGCGAAAGCCGAGGUCGAUGUGGCGUUGGAUUAAUUUUAAAAAAAUGUAAAAUUUGUUUUGGUGCAAAAGUGAUGCAAAACUAAAACUUAAAAUUUUGCUUGAGCAUUUUAUUAAUAACGUAAACCGACGCCCUUCGGAUGCGAAAGGGAAUCCGGUUCCUAUUCCGGAACCCGGCAGCGGAACCGUCUUAAAAUCGGGCCCUCGCAAGAGAGUUCGUCGGGGCAACCCAAAAUGACCCGGAGACGCCGUCGGGAGAUCGGGGAAGAGUUUUCUUUUCUGCAUGAGCGUUCGAGUUCCAUGGAAUCCUCUAGCAGGGAGAUAUGGUUUGGAACGCGAAGAGCACCGCAGUUGCGGCGGUGUCCCGAUCUUCCCCUCGGACCUUGAAAAUCCGGGAGAGGGCCACGUGGAGGCGUCGCGCCGGCUCGUACCCAUAUCCGCAGCAGGUCUCCAAGGU
RNAcentral lists this ribosomal RNA (2286 nucleotides) under Holoparamecus sp. CO710. RNAcentral's name for it is "eukaryotic LSU rRNA". It matches the Rfam family "Eukaryotic large subunit ribosomal RNA", at positions 44 to 1873 of the family's 3401-position model. The record is from RNAcentral. Lineage: Eukaryota; Metazoa; Arthropoda; Insecta; Coleoptera; Endomychidae.